AUUUAUAUAGUACAAAUAGUAUAUUUAACUUCCAAUUAAAUGAUCUAAUUUCUUUUAGUAUAAAUA
RNAcentral lists this transfer RNA (66 nucleotides) under Rhyzodiastes puetzi. RNAcentral describes it as "tRNA-Gly". Lineage: Eukaryota; Metazoa; Arthropoda; Insecta; Coleoptera; Carabidae. The record is from RNAcentral.